GACUUGGGUGUUGCUGCUUUACUGUGGCUCGCCUCAAAUGGAGUAGUGCAACUCUUGGUUGGACAUAGUACGGCGUGAUAAGUGUCUUCGCCGGCGCCUCAUUAGAGGGUGGCCAAUUGGGAGCUCUGUGCUUCUAACCGUCUUCGGACAAUAUCUGACAACUUGACCUCAAAUCGAGUAGGACUACCCGCUGAACUUAA
This 200-nucleotide unclassified non-coding RNA is filed under the name soil metagenome. Its description in RNAcentral is "partial contains internal transcribed spacer 2 and large subunit ribosomal RNA". The record is from RNAcentral.